This 330-nucleotide ribosomal RNA is filed under the name uncultured eukaryote. RNAcentral's name for it is "partial 18S ribosomal RNA". It matches the Rfam family "Eukaryotic small subunit ribosomal RNA", at positions 1470 to 1796 of the family's 1831-position model. The record is from RNAcentral.
CCCUUAGAUGUUCUGGGCCGCACGCGUGCUACACUGAUGCAUUCAACGAGUCUAAAACCUGGUCUGAUAGGGCUGGGUAAUCUUUUGAAAGUGCAUCGUGAUUGGGAUAGAUGAUUGCAAUUCUUCAUCUUCAACGAGGAAUGCCUAGUAAACGCAAGUCAUCAGCUCGCAUUGAUUACGUCCCUGCCCUUUGUACACACCGCCCGUCGCUCCUACCGAUUGAAUGAUCCGAUGAAUACCAUGGAUUGAGAGUACGAAUAGGUUCGCUUAUUUCUGCUGCUCGAGAAGUGGAGUAAAUCUUACCAUUUAGAGGAAGGAGAAGUCGUAACA